CUACGGGAGGCAGCAGUCGAGGAUCUUUAUCAAUGCCCGAAAGGGUGAAUAUGCGACGCCGCGUGCAGGAUGACGGCCUUCGGGUUGUAAACUGCUGUUAGGGGUGAGGAAAUAGCGCGCGUGAAUAACGCGCGAGGCUGACGUUAACCCCAAAGAAAGCCAUGGCUAACUCUGUGCCAGCAGCCGCGGUAAUACAGAGAUGGCAAGCGUUGUUCGGAUUUAUUGGGUGUAAAGGGCAGGUAGGUGGCCUUGUAAGUCUGUUGUGAAAUCCCAGAGCUCAACUCUGGAACUGCAACAGAAACUACUUGGCUUGAGUACCGGAGAGGUGAGGGGAAUUCUCGGUGUAAGGGUGAAAUCUGUAGAUAUCGAGAGGAACACCAGUGGCGAAGGCGCCUCACUGGCCGGUGACUGACACUGAGCUGCGAAAGCAAGGGGAGCAAACAGGAUUAGAUACCCCAGAGUC
Molecule: ribosomal RNA, 463 nt
Filed under: uncultured bacterium
Lineage: Bacteria
Description: partial 16S ribosomal RNA
Rfam family: Bacterial small subunit ribosomal RNA
Source: RNAcentral